Molecule: ribosomal RNA, 440 nt
Filed under: uncultured bacterium
Lineage: Bacteria
Description: partial 16S ribosomal RNA
Rfam family: Bacterial small subunit ribosomal RNA
Source: RNAcentral
CCUACGGGAGGCAGCAGUGAGGAAUAUUGGGCAAUGGAGGCAACUCUGACCCAGCCAUGCCGCGUGAGUGAAGAAGGUUUUCUGAUUGUAAAGCUCUUUCCGAUGUGACGAUGAUCACGGUAGCAUCUCAAGAAUCCCCGGCUACCUUCGUCCCAGCAGCCGCGGCAAUACGAAGGGGGCAAGCGUUGUUCGGAAUUACUGGGGGUAAAGGGAGUGUAGGCGGGUUAGUAAGAUAGUGGUGAAAACGCAGGGCUUAACUUUGGGAUUGCCAUUAUAACUAUUAGACUAGAAUGACAGAGAGGAAAGUGGAAUACCCAGUGUAGAGGUGAAAUUCGUAGAUAUUGGGUAGAACACCAGUGGCGAAGGCGGCUAGCUGGAUGGAAAUUGACGCUGAGGCUCGAAAGCAUGGGGAUCAAACAGGAUUAGAUACCCUAGUAGUC